RNAcentral lists this ribosomal RNA (1022 nucleotides) under Salmonella enterica. RNAcentral's name for it is "partial 23S ribosomal RNA". It matches the Rfam family "Bacterial large subunit ribosomal RNA", at positions 711 to 1730 of the family's 2925-position model. Lineage: Bacteria; Pseudomonadati; Pseudomonadota; Gammaproteobacteria; Enterobacterales; Enterobacteriaceae. The record is from RNAcentral.
AGACCCGAAACCCGGUGAUCUAGCCAUGGGCAGGUUGAAGGUUGGGUAACACUAACUGGAGGACCGAACCGACUAAUGUUGAAAAAUUAGCGGAUGACCUGUGGCUGGGGGUGAAAGGCCAAUCAAACCGGGAGAUAGCUGGUUCUCCCCGAAAGCUAUUUAGGUAGCGCCUCGUGAAUUCAUCUCCGGGGGUAGAGCACUGUUUCGGCUAGGGGGCCAUCCCGGCUUACCAACCCGAUGCAAACUGCGAAUACCGGAGAAUGUUAUCACGGGAGACACACGGCGGGUGCUAACGUCCGUCGUGAAGAGGGAAACAACCCAGACCGCCAGCUAAGGUCCCAAAGUCAUGGUUAAGUGGGAAACGAUGUGGGAAGGCCCAGACAGCCAGGAUGUUGGCUUAGAAGCAGCCAUCAUUUAAAGAAAGCGUAAUAGCUCACUGGUCGAGUCGGCCUGCGCGGAAGAUGUAACGGGGCUAAACCAUGCACCGAAGCUGCGGCAGCGACACUCAGGUGUUGUUGGGUAGGGGAGCGUUCUGUAAGCCUGCGAAGGUGUGUCGUGAGGCAUGCUGGAGGUAUCAGAAGUGCGAAUGCUGACAUAAGUAACGAUAAAGCGGGUGAAAAGCCCGCUCGCCGGAAGACCAAGGGUUCCUGUCCAACGUUAAUCGGGGCAGGGUGAGUCGACCCCUAAGGCGAGGCCGAAAGGCGUAGUCGAUGGGAAACGGGUUAAUAUUCCCGUACUUGGUGUUACUGCGAAGGGGGGACGGAGAAGGCUAUGUUGGCCGGGCGACGGUUGUCCCGGUUUAAGCGUGUAGGUGUGUGUUCCAGGUAAAUCCGGUUCACUUUAACACUGAGGCGUGAUGACGAGGCACUACGGUGCUGAAGCAACAAAUGCCCUGCUUCCAGGAAAAGCCUCUAAGCAUCAGGUAACAUCAAAUCGUACCCCAAACCGACACAGGUGGUCAGGUAGAGAAUACCAAGGCGCUUGAGAGAACUCGGGUGAAGGAACUAGGCAAAAUGGUGCCG